ACAGUCAGCCAGCUGUUGGUCAUUUGUAACCUCUAUCAUAAUUAGGAAUAUUCACUUCUUCCAAUCAUUUCAGAAAAAGCUUGCUCUCUAACACCUUGCUAAUCCAAAAUAAGCAACAGCUGUGUCCCUAAACCCUAACCAUGAUCUACAUUGCUUUUUUGCCUUCCUGGUGCAGACCACACUGCAGUAGGCCUAGCAUGGCACAUCAAUGUACUUAGCAACUGAUUGUUGACUGAUUAUCAAGUAACUGAUUUCCUGACUCAUGAGCCAUGUCCUGUGCAAGUUUUGAGGGUUGAACCAAAAUAGUUAUUAACAAGACUGAUGGAGGAAGGGGGAACAGCAACCCAGAAUAUUUGGAGACCAGGAAACAGCUGGUGAAACAGUGAACAAGAUGAAGUGGCUCAAAUCUCUAGAAGGAUGUCUGGCUCCCUCAAGACUGUCCCCUGUUUCUCAGGGAUGAGCCUGAUGAGAAUAGAGGCGAGUCAAGGCCAGUACUGCUGCCACUGGGGGACAUACUUUUCAGAAUGUGGGAUUCAUAGAGCAGAACAUUGAAACCUGGGAGCUGAUGAAGAAACUGAGGUCCAGAGAAGUGCCCAAGGUCAGCUCAUAGCAAAGAGGACCAUGACUUAGAAUUGAUUUUCCUAAUCUGACACCAGAGUUGUCUAUCUGGUGUAAAAGUGCUCCAGGACUCCAAGGACAGCCUAUUCCUGUCUCUACACUGGUCCUCACAUUUGGGAGAAGCAGAAUGACUCUCCUUUGUUUUUUUUUGUUUUUUGUUGUUGUUGAGAAAAAAAUAAAAGAAAACAAAUAAUGUUAUGAAUUUUGCCU
This 828-nucleotide long non-coding RNA is filed under the name Monodelphis domestica (gray short-tailed opossum). RNAcentral's name for it is "lncRNA (ENSMODG00000035031.2)". Lineage: Eukaryota; Metazoa; Chordata; Mammalia; Didelphimorphia; Didelphidae. The record is from RNAcentral.